Molecule: ribosomal RNA, 446 nt
Filed under: uncultured bacterium
Lineage: Bacteria
Description: bacterial SSU rRNA
Rfam family: Bacterial small subunit ribosomal RNA
Source: RNAcentral
GCCAGACUCCUACGGGAGGCAGCAGUGGGGAAUAUUGCACAAUGGGGGAAACCCUGAUGCAGCGACGCCGCGUGAGUGAAGAAGUAUUUCGGUAUGUAAAGCUCUAUCAGCAGGAACGAGACAAGACGGUACCUGACUAAGAAGCCCCGACUAACUACGUGCCAGCAGCCGCGGUAAUACGUAGGGGGCAAGCGUUAUCCGGAUUUACUGGGUGUAAAGGGAGCGUAGACGGCCAUGCAAGUCUGAUGUGAAAACCCGGGGCUCAACCCCGGAACUGCUUUGGAAACUGUGCAGCUAGAGUGCAGGAGAGGUAAGUGGAAUUCCUAGUGUAGCGGUGAAAUGCGUAGAUAUUAGGAGGAACACCAGUGGCGAAGGCGGCUUACUGGACUGUAACUGACGUUGAGGCUCGAAAGCGUGGGGAGCAAACAGGAUUAGAUACCCUUGUA